CCUAAAAGGGCUUUGUUUUUUAUAAGAAAAAUUAGCAACUGAAAAAUUUUCACGUUUUCCUCCCCCUUUUGGCGCACUCUACACCCUGUUUUCCUUCUUUUCGCUUCUGCGAGCGUUCUCCCAGUUUGAUGUUUCUUACCUGAAAAUGACGCCAAAAUUCAGGAAUCAGCCGCUAAAAAACAAAAAGUCAGUAAUUCGAUUUUCUCUUCUAUUCCGCAUAAUCCACGUAACAGGAGGGAUUAUGUCACUGGCGAUUGUUCAUACUCGCGCCGCACUUGGCGUCAAUGCGCCGCCUAUCACUAUAGAGGUGCAUAUCAGUAAUGGAUUACCGGGAUUAACCAUGGUUGGCCCACCGGAAACCACGGUAAAAGAGGCGCGUGACCGGGUACGUAG
RNAcentral lists this unclassified non-coding RNA (393 nucleotides) under uncultured fungus. RNAcentral's name for it is "partial internal transcribed spacer 1". The record is from RNAcentral. Lineage: Eukaryota; Fungi.